GACCUACGGGGCGCAGCAGUGAGGAAUAUUGGUCAACGGCCGAGAGGCUGAACCAGCCAAGUCGCGUGAGGGAAGACGGCCUUACGGGUUGUAAACCUCUUUUGUCGGGGAGCAAAGCGAGUCACGUGUGACUCAUUGAGAGUACCCGAAGAAAAAGCAUCGGCUAACUCCGUGCCAGCAGCCGCGGUAAUACGGAGGAUGCGAGCGUUAUCCGGAUUUAUUGGGUUUAAAGGGCGCGCAGGCGGAGGUGCAAGUCAGCGGUCAAAUUGCGGGGCUCAACCCCGUACUGCCGUUGAAACUGCAUC
This 305-nucleotide ribosomal RNA is filed under the name uncultured bacterium. RNAcentral's name for it is "bacterial SSU rRNA". It matches the Rfam family "Bacterial small subunit ribosomal RNA", at positions 335 to 639 of the family's 1533-position model. The record is from RNAcentral.